This 403-nucleotide ribosomal RNA is filed under the name uncultured bacterium. RNAcentral's name for it is "bacterial SSU rRNA". It matches the Rfam family "Bacterial small subunit ribosomal RNA", at positions 355 to 774 of the family's 1533-position model. The record is from RNAcentral.
CGGGGAAUAUUGCGCAAUGGACGGAAGUCAGACGCAGCGACGCCGCGUGGACGAUGAAGGCCUUCGGGUUGUAAAGUCCUUUUCUGAGGGAAGAGACAGGACGGUACCUUGGGAAUAAGCGUCGGCUAACUACGUGCCAGCAGCCGCGGUAAGACGUAGGACGCGAGCGUUAUCCGGAUUUACUGGGCGUAAAGAGCCUGUAGGCGGUUGGGUAAGUUGGAUGUGAAAGCCCCGUGCUUAACGCGGGGAGGCCAUUCGAUACUGCCCGACUUGAGGGCGACAGAGGAGAGUGGAAUUCCUGGUGUAGCGGUAAAAUGCGCAGAGAUCAGGAGGAACACCGAUGGCGAAGGCAGCUCUCUGGGUCGCACCAGACGCUGAGAGGCGAAAGCUAGGGGAGCGAACA